GGACUACUGGGGUAUCUAAUCCUGUUCGCUCCCCUAGCUUUCGCGCCUCAGCGUCAGUUGCCAGCCAGGACACUGCCUUCGCCUUUGGUCUUCCUCCGGAUAUCUACGCAUUUCACCACUCCACCCGGAAUUCGAUGUCCCUCUCUGGCCCUCAAGUCCCGCCGUCUUUGCCAAGCCUUGCGAAGUUAAGCCUCGCACUGUCACAGCAAACUGACCGGACCGCCUACACGCCCUUUACGCCCAGUAACUCCGGACAACGCUCGCCCCCUACGUAUUACCGCGGCUGCUGGCAC
RNAcentral lists this ribosomal RNA (293 nucleotides) under uncultured bacterium. RNAcentral's name for it is "partial 16S ribosomal RNA". The record is from RNAcentral.